This 70-nucleotide transfer RNA is filed under the name Marmota monax (woodchuck). RNAcentral's name for it is "tRNA.Ala". The stretch from base 5 to 65 matches the Rfam family "tRNA", at positions 6 to 65 of the family's 71-position model. Rfam says of the family: Transfer RNA (tRNA) molecules are approximately 80 nucleotides in length. Their secondary structure includes four short double-helical elements and three loops (D, anti-codon, and T loops). Lineage: Eukaryota; Metazoa; Chordata; Mammalia; Rodentia; Sciuridae. The record is from RNAcentral.
GGGCUGGGGCUCAGCGGUAGAGUGCUCGCCUAGCAUGUGUGAGGCCCUGAGUUCAAUCCUCAGCACCACA